This 119-nucleotide ribosomal RNA is filed under the name Pteropus alecto (black flying fox). The record is from RNAcentral. Lineage: Eukaryota; Metazoa; Chordata; Mammalia; Chiroptera; Pteropodidae.
GUCUAUGGCCAUGCUACCCUGAACAAGCCUGAUCCCAUCUGAUCUUGGAAGCUAAGCAGGGUCGGGCCUGGUUAGUACUUGGAUGAGAGACCACCUAGGAAGACCAGGUGCUGUAAGCG